Molecule: ribosomal RNA, 360 nt
Filed under: Aivalykus sp. CNIN952
Lineage: Eukaryota; Metazoa; Arthropoda; Insecta; Hymenoptera; Braconidae
Description: partial 16S ribosomal RNA
Source: RNAcentral
UUUUAAGUCCAAUCUGCCCAAUGAAAAUUUAAAUAGCUGCAGUAUUUAUAACUGUACAAAGGUAGCAUAAUAAAUUGUUUUUUAAUUAAAAACUAGAAUGAAAGAUUUAAUGAAAUAUAAACUUUCUCAGAAAAAAAAAUUUAAUUUUUUAUUUAAGUAAAAAAACUUAAAUAAUAUUAAAAGACGACAAGACCCUAUAGAAUUUUAUUAUUUAUUAUUUUUAAUAAUUCAAUAAUAAAUAAUUUUGUUGGGGUAACAAAAAAAUACAAAAAAUUUUUUUUAUAAAACCCAUUAAUAAAUGAAUUUUUUAUCUUAAAAUUUAAAUUAAAAAAAUUAAUUACCUUAGGGAUAACAGCAUAA